AAGGCAUGUUUGUUCGAUGCCAGCAGUUUUCUGCUUGUCUUGCAUCGUUUCCUAAAUACGUAGUAUAAAAUUGGUCUUAUCUCGUUUUAUUAUAAAAGGUGUACAAGACUUUAGGAAGGGGAAGGGUGGCCAAAGCGUUGAUAAGAUGUUGCUUGGAAGAGGGAUUGUUGGAAAUUUGCGAUACCGAAUGCAUUAGGAAGUAUUAAUAGUUGCAUUUUGAUUAUCGUAAUCGUGGCCUUCGCUUCGUCCGGUGUAUCUAGUCUAGUGCUAGUUUGCAAGUUCGAUUAUGCCGGAUAUUUUUCGAUUGAAAGAUCUCGUGUUUUUCGUGUUCUUUUUUUCUCAAAUUCGGGGCUUCGUUGGACGUUGAAGUUUCGGCGAUUCUCGCGUAUUCGCCGGGGAUUAUUGCAAGCAAGCUAUCGUGAGUUUUACGACGAUUUUUGGUGAGUUUUUUGCAUUAUUUUGGUCCGGUGUGUAUCUAGCGCUGGUGUGCAUCGUGCAAGUUCGAUUAUGCCGGAUAUUUUUCGAUCAAAAACUCUCGUGUUUUUUGUGUUUUUUUUUCUUUUUUUUAAAAUCGAGGCUUCGUUGAUGUUGAAGUUUUGGUGAUCUUCGCGGAUUUGCCCAUGGAUUAUUGCAAUGCAAGAAAGCUCUUGUGAGUAAAACAACGAUUUUUGGUAUUUGGAUUCAAGAUUUCAGGACGAAGUUGAAUUUUGCCAUCUGAUGAUUACAAAGACAAUGUUGCCGGAUCUGGCGGUUCCGUAUUGAAAAAUAUUCACUGUGAUUUGAAAAUUACCGGAGAUGAAACGUCUCAUCAUGAGGUCUUGGAUUCUGUUCACAAUGGAGCGUCUAUGAUACCUACUGCCACAACCAAUCACAGUAGGUAAUUCAGAAAGAGCCUUUCUUGCCAAUGUUCGAGGAUAUUUUAGCUUCCCUGGAAAAUAAUCCCUGCGUGUUGAUUGUUGUUUCGAGAGCAGCUAUUCGGAUCCUUUGAAAGUAUUUCGAUCUAAUCAUUUAUUCGCCAACGCAGAUACUUAUACGAGUAGAUAAGUACAUAAUAAUGUGGAUUGUUGAGUAUUUUUUUUUUCAAGCUAUGCAGGUAGCUUUGAAAUAAAUAUUUAUCAAUUUUAAUAAUAA
Molecule: long non-coding RNA, 1131 nt
Organism: Planococcus citri (citrus mealybug)
Lineage: Eukaryota; Metazoa; Arthropoda; Insecta; Hemiptera; Pseudococcidae
Exons: 3
Source: RefSeq, a predicted model, not a curated record